AAGAUCGGGGCCUCGGUGCUGGCGCGCGGCGCAAGGCCCAGCAGGGAGGUGCCGGGCGCUCCCAGACCCUGACCGACGGCAGGCGCGAAGGUGGCCAAGGCGAGCAGGAGGCCCCACAUGGUGAAGCCCAGAGGGUCGCCUCCCCAGAAGGAAGGAAAUGCGUCCACUGUGCGCCUCUGGCCGAUGCUUUGCCCUUGCAAGGAGUCCUCAGAGAGAUACUGCCAUCCCCAGUUUGAAUCAUCCAAAGUCAGCAUUUUGGCACCCUUCUGGAAGCUCUAUCUUGAAGGAUCUCUGCAAAGAAAUACCGCCCUGGGGUCUUGGAACUGAGGCCGCCAGAGGCCAGGAUGACCUCAUAAAGGCAUUGCUUUGUUGCUCCGGGAAGAGCCAGAGCAAGGGCAAUCAAUAAAUCGUCUCGAAGGCUGGUGACAUUGGCUCCAUGGACUGUUGAGCCCAUAGCCACCAAAGAUGUCAAGGCCACCAAGCUGGAGUGAUUGGAUAGAGUCCACUGGAGGCAGAUAUGCAGCCUGAUUCUCUACCUGUCUCCUCCUCUCCUAGGGGCUGUAUGGCCAUGUUCCCCUCACUCCAUCAUGGGAUGGAGUUUUCCUUCAAAGUAUGACAUGUGGACAAGGAUUAAGUUCUUUCAGUUAUGA
Molecule: long non-coding RNA, 650 nt
Organism: Phyllostomus hastatus (greater spear-nosed bat)
Lineage: Eukaryota; Metazoa; Chordata; Mammalia; Chiroptera; Phyllostomidae
Exons: 4
Source: RefSeq, a predicted model, not a curated record